This is a long non-coding RNA of Neoarius graeffei (lesser salmon catfish), 3097 nucleotides long. RefSeq lists it as uncharacterized. The record is from RefSeq and is a predicted model, not a curated record. Lineage: Eukaryota; Metazoa; Chordata; Actinopteri; Siluriformes; Ariidae. The transcript has 2 exons.
UCCCAGGUGAGCUCGCGCGGAGUGUGAAUGGAUGAAAUUGAGACUGGACCAGAGCGGUGCGCGUGACACUGCGCAUGCGUGACGUCAAAAUAGCACGUCCAGGAAGUGCUGAGGUGUGCUUCAUUCGCGCUGUUGAACUUCAAAUGAAAGGCCUGAAGUCCUGCUAUAACAGAUGCAGGCUUCACUAGAUUGGGUGGCGCUUCAGUGCUUCUCUGCAACACAGUGUGUGUGUGUGUAGAGGCUUAAAGACUGAACCAUGAAGUUGAUAGUGGAUGUAGUGUGGAUGGUGUGGGGCAUUGGGGCAUCUGUGUACGACUACUUCCACACCAGCGCCAUGGAAGAAAGGAUCCACAGUCUGGAGAACGCCCUCACCAUCCACCAGUUCUUCAUCAUGUUCCUCACCGCAAGCCUCGUCCUGCUCAUCUCGUACCUCAUCUUUAAGAAAAAAUGACACGCCAGAGACUCGCCGCGAGCCUCAAGGAACCACAAGACAGACAGACAGACAAACGCCAUGUUCCUCAGUGUAUGAACAUGACCGAUGCAUAGAUUGUCUGAGAGCGUUUUCAAGGAUUUUAUAAUAUUUGAAAGAAAUACAUUUUUGACACGUGUUUCGAUAAUGUUUCUCAUGUUCUGAGGAAGUACGGGAUUGCCACAUAACUCGGUUAUUCAUUUGACAUAUCUGUUGCAGAUCAUAGUUGCGCUGGGGUCAGUCCCAGCUGAUAAGAAGCAGGGUACACCCAGGAUAGGUUGCCAGUCUAUCACGGAGCUAACACACUCAGAUUUAGACCUAUAGCCAAUUUCGACUUGACCUAAUCCGCAUGUCUUUGGACUGUCGGAGGAAACGGCACGAAGAGAACGUGCAAACGAAAAGGCCCCAUUUGACUGGCAGGUUCAAAUCCAGAACAUGCUUGGUGUGAGGCGACAGUGUUUAAUCAGUGCACUGUCGUGCCACCUGGCAUUUAACUGUGAUCACAAUAUUGCACGAGUCAACUGAUUAUCAGAAGUCUCAAAAACAAUUAGGUUAGAGAUGUAUCGGUACCGAUUUUUUUUUUUUAAACCAAGUUCAAGUCCAUGGUUUUAGCACUUGCACUCUUCGUACUUUAGUUUGCACUGUUUUGUUUUGAUUGCUAUUCAUGAAGUACAUCCAGACUACUGUCAGUUUGUUUUCAUGAGCACAGCAACAUACAGUAGGUUCAAGUCACGUACUACGUGUUCUCAGAUGUUCCUCAUCCGAGCACUUUUUUUUUUAACAAAUAAAUGAGCAGUAUGGGUGUCGAUCCAACAGAUGUUCUGUAACUCAUUCGUUAUUUCACUCUGAUAAAUAUACAAACUCAAAAUUGAUUCACUGCAUUCAUAGUACAAGUAUGAAGCAUAUCAUAGCAAGGCUAAACAAAUCGAGAGAUUUUACUCAGACGAUUUUAUUUUAUUUUAUAAUAACCUGCUCUACACUCACUGUUUGCUUUAAUAGGAACUUGAUUCUAAGAGUCCUGUUCUUGGCUGCAGGAGUGGAACCCAGUGUGGUCUUGUGCUGUUGCAUGUUGAGAUGCUUUUCUGCUUACCACGGUUGUAAAGAGUUGCUAUAUCCUUCCGGCAGCUCAAACCAAUCUGGCCGUUUUCCUCUGAUCUCUCUUAUCAACAAGACAUUUCUUCUCACAGAACUGUCGCUCGCUCACUCAAUGUUUUGGGGGGGGGGUUUUCACACCAUUCUGUGUAAACUCUCGAGACCGUUGUGUGUGAAAACCGCAGAGAUCAGCAGUUUGUAAAAUACUCCAACCAGUCCAUCUGGCUCAGACCAACACCCAUGCCACAGUGAAAGAGAGUCACACUUUGAGAUCACAAUUUUUCCCAUUCUGAUGUUUGACGUGAACAUUAACUGAAGCUUUUGAGUUGUGUCUGUAUGAUUUUGAUGCAUCGUGCUGCUGUCAAAGGAUCGGCUGAUUAGAGAACUGCGUAAAACAGCAGGCAAGCUGGAGCCUAUCCCAGCUGACUACGGGCGAAAGGCGGGGUACACCCUGGACAAGUCGCCAGGUCAUCACGGGGCUGACACAUAGACACAGACAACCAUUCACACAUCUUCACAUUCACACCUACGGUCAAUUUAGAACCACCAGUUAACCUAACCUGCAUGUCUUUGGACUGUGGGGGAAACCGGAGCACCCGGAGGAAACCCACGCGGACACGGGGAGAACAUGCAAACUCCGCACAGAAAGGCCCUCACCGGCCACGGGGCUCGAACCCGGACCUUCUUGCUGUGAGGCGACAGCGCUAACCACUACACCACCGUGCUGCCCGUUGUGUAUAUUUAUUGCAGAUAACUAGAAUUUUUCAGUGUUCACUACGUUUGCAUCAUGGUAAUGAAGACCGUCCUGAGAUUUUUUUUUUUUUUUCACACAAAAGAAACCUUCAGGCCUUCUCUCAGACUUUCUUCUGCCUGAGAAUAUAAGAUAAAUACUAACACAAAGUAAGAAUAUUUACAAUUCAAUACAGCAGUGCAAUAGUGAUUAAAGCGGUGUUUAUUUGAGAAGUGAGAGUUUGGCAGUAGAAUGUGACGUGAGAAACUGGCUAACAGAAAGUGUGUUUGCACUUCCUCAGCGCCGUGUCAUGCUGUGAAACAGGAUACAAAAAGAUGCACUGAAAGAAGUGAAAUAGAAAUUAACAAAAUGUGAAUGGGAGUCAGUAUGGUUUUAGUGACCGCUUCAUGCUUAAUUUUAAGAGUGAAAUCAACAUUUCUUUUUUCCAUUUCUGAAUGUUUUGUUAAAUUCUAUCAGGUGCCAUUCUAACUUGUCAGAAUAGUUUUCUGAUGCUUUUUUUAAAAAUUAUAUUUUCCUUUUUUUUGGGAGGGGGGUCUUGGAUUAUUUAUUGUGUGUGUGUGUUGUCAUACCUAACCACUGAAUUCAUAUGUUUUUAAUUUACGCAGAAAGCAGUUAGACUUGAUUUGUAUAAUACAGAUCAUCUGGUAACAAUUCAAGUGUCCUGUAGUCCAGCAAAAACAUGACGUCCUACGUAUUGUAGGUACUUUGAUUUCAGCUGGAACUCUGACUUUGAACCUUUACACUGUAAUACUUUUUAAUACAGAUAAAUGACUUUGACACCGAAA